AAAACCUAACAAUGCACUUUACCGUUGUGAAUGCGUAAUGAUGUGUUCAUCAGGGGGCUUAAAAACCCUUGGGGCUACAAUAUCCACUUCUCGGCACCCAUUAUAGAGGCUAGAGUAUGUCUUACGUGACAGUAAAAUGUGAAGCAGGAAUGCCGUCUUUAAAGAGAAAAGGCAACACCCAGGAGAUACAGGAAUCGCACAGUCAUGCUGACUUAAAAUACACAUGUAAACACUCACUGUGCCCCUGGUGUCCUGUCCAUAAAUAAAAUGGCUUGCUCAAGAAACCAGGUUUGAAGUGGAGGUUUGCCGUCACUCCCCAGAUCUGUAUGGAAGUGUCAGAAGUGGAGUCAGCUAGUUAGUUCACCCCAAUAGGUACUGAGAGCUAUUAAGUCUGUACCACUGUGUCGGGAGAGACCAGGAGGAAUCGAGCAGGUAUGAGUCUUUCUUUUUUUCUUUUUUUUUUUUUUUUUUAGACGGAAUUUUGCCCUUGUUGCCCAGGCUGGAGUGCAGUGGCACGAUCUCGGCUCACCGCAACCUCCGCCUCCAGGUUCAAGUGAUUCCCCUGCCUCAGCCUUCUGAGUAGCUGGGAUUACAGGCAUGCACCGCCAUGCCCGGCUAAUUUUGUAUUUUUAGUAGAGAUGGGGUUUCUCCAUGUUGGUCAGGCUGGUCUCGAACUCCCGACCUCAGGUGAUCCACCUGCCUCGGCCUCCCAAAGUGCUGGGAUUACAGGCGUGAGCCGCUGCGCCUGGCCCAGGUACGGGUCUUUCAUAUGGAGCUUCUAGUCAGUUAUUGGUGACAAAGUGCAGAGGUAAAGGGUGAACAGAUUUAGGGGAAGACAGAAGCCUGAGGAUAAUUAAGUACCAAAUUAGUAUCACUAAUAGUGAGUGCUGCUUUUAGUCGCAGUUCAGUAUAAAGGAGGAAGGAAAGAGGAGAGAAUUGGAUUUUCUUGUCUGUUUUUGCCUAAUUGGGUAUGAUGGAUGUGUUUGCCCAGGAACACCACACAGAGAUUUAGGGAAGAAAGUGAUAAAUUCUGUUGUGAAAACAGGGACAUAGAAAGGGCCCUGAAGGAGUUGGUUUUUAAAAUCCAGCUGAAUGUCACUGUAAAUUUUACAGUUUGAUGUUGUGUUUCUAACAGUGGUUCUCAAUCAGGAAUGGUUUUGAAUAUUGCAGGUUAGGUGGGAAUCACUGAUUGAAGGAAGGGGAAAGGCAGGGAGAAAAGUUCCAAUAGAAGGCACAGGACACAAAAUAGUUACAAAUGAAUGGGGGAGUAAUGUCUUCUGCAAGUGAAAUGUUCUCCAGGUUUAGAGUGAUCUCAUUUUACAGGCAAAUGCCUGGGAAUUUGAUAAGACUGUCAACAAUCCACUUCCCCUACAACUAAACCUCAUUUUGAUAACUCGGACUGUGCAGUGGUUUGUACUCCCACCACCAGCUCUCUAAACCCAACGAAAUGUAUCUACAGGACAGGUAGUCUUUUUUUAGGUUGAUCUUGGACUGGCACGGAGAAAGAAAGGUUUGGAUCACUGCUGUGGUUUGAAUGUCCCUGUCAAAACUCUUGUUGAAAUUUAGUUGUCAAUGUAACAUUAUUGGGAGGUGAGGUCUCUAAGAGGUGAUUCGCUCAUGAGGGCUCUGUCUUCAUCAGUGGGUUGGUGCAGGUAUCAUAAGACUGGGUUAGUUAUUGUGGGAGUGGCUCCCGAGAAAAGGAUGAGCUUGGCCUGAUUUCCUCUCUCCCAUCUCAUAUGCUUGUUCAUCAUGUGAUGCUUUUCACAAUAGAAUGAUCCCUACCAGAUGUCAGCACCAUGCUCUUGGACUUACCAGUCUUAAGAACUCUGAGAAAUAAAUCUAUUUUCUUUGUAAAUUAUGCAGUUUGUGGUAUAUUUUUAUAGCAGCAGAAAAUGGACUAAGACAAUCACAAGUUUCAAUUGUGAUCCAAGGGUCAGGAAAGGGAUUCUGGUAGGAUAAACUGUCCUUGCUUCUUCACACUCACCCUAUCUAUUCAAAGACUCUGGCAUCUAUACAAAACAAACCAGAAAAAAACUUAAUGAGAGCUGGAGAUGGCAGAAAGAGAGUCACUUAUAGCUAGUGUGAUGACUGUCACAGGUUGUAUCAGGCCCAGGAAAGAGUAAACAGCUCCGUCAUACUAUCAUGCCACAGCUCAUGAAGGGGGAUGGUCAAAGUCACAGAGACUCUAGGGAUAUUCUUUCUUCACAUGAGAUUACAUUGUGGUGUUUCCAAGGGAAAUUAAUGCUUGACUUGGCAAGGUGUUCUUUGCAAUUUCCAAAUAAACCAGUUGGGAGUUAGCCAGAGUGCUCUUAGAGUAAAUUAAGAUAUUAAAUUGGAAUUGGGCACCCAAUGUUGUUUUCAUUUACAGAACUGGAGCUCAUCCCUACUCUGCUCAUGCCUCAAACCUCCACUCAGUCCCACCAAAGUUGAGGCAUUUGUAAGAAGCAAGUGGGAAUCCAAGGUGCAGAACUCCUUUCCUGGUUAAGAGGGGUGGAAUUUGCAGAGGGAAGGAGAGGGUACUCCAUGCACUGAGACUUAGUAAAAAGGACUAUGGAAUAAAAGGGGGGAAAUCGAAGUGAGAGUGAGAAAUAUGAAUGAAGGAGUUGGUUUUUAAAAUCCAGCUGAAUGUCACUGUAAAUUUUACAGUUUGAUGUUAUGUUUCUAACCUAACGGUUCUCAAUCAGGAAUGGUUUUAUGUUGUUGUUUUGUUUUGUUUUUGUGUUUGUUUUUGAGACGGAGUCUCACUCUUGUUGCCCAGGCUGGAGUGCAAUGGCGUGAUCUUGCUCAUUGCAACUUCUGCCUCCCAGGUUCAAGCGAUUCUCC
Molecule: long non-coding RNA, 2823 nt
Filed under: Homo sapiens (human)
Lineage: Eukaryota; Metazoa; Chordata; Mammalia; Primates; Hominidae
Description: long non-coding RNA NONHSAT208798.1
Source: RNAcentral